Molecule: ribosomal RNA, 497 nt
Filed under: uncultured bacterium
Lineage: Bacteria
Description: partial 16S ribosomal RNA
Rfam family: Bacterial small subunit ribosomal RNA
Source: RNAcentral
GAUGAACGCUGGCGGCGUGCCUAAUACAUGCAAGUCGAGCGAACAGACGAGGAGCUUGCUCCUCUGACGUUAGCGGCGGACGGGUGAGUAACACGUGGAUAACCUACCUAUAAGACUGGGAUAACUUCGGGAAACCGGAGCUAAUACCUGAUAAUAUAUCGAACCGCAUGGUUCAAUAGUGAAAGACGGUUUUGCUGUCACUUAUAGCUGGAUCCGCGCCGCAUUAGCUACUUGGUAAGGUAACGGCUUACCAAGGCAACGAUGCGUAGCCGACCUGAGAGGGUGAUCGGCCACACUGGAACUGAGACAGGGUCCAGACUCCUACGGGAGGCAGCAGUAGGGAAUCUUACGCAAUGGGCGAAAGCCUGACGCAGCAACGCCGCGUGAGUGAUGAAGGUCUUCGGAUCGUAAAACUCUGUUAUUAGGGAAGAACAGAUGUGUAAGUAACUAUGCACGUAUUGACGGUACCUAAACAGAAAGCAACGGCUAACUACGUG